This 65-nucleotide transfer RNA is filed under the name Conotrachelus sp. KM-2017. RNAcentral describes it as "tRNA-Cys". The record is from RNAcentral. Lineage: Eukaryota; Metazoa; Arthropoda; Insecta; Coleoptera; Curculionidae.
AAUUGAGUAGUCUAAGAAGGAUAUUAAAUUGCAAAUUUAAUGGUAAUAAAAAAAGUUCUCAAUUU